This 22-nucleotide microRNA is filed under the name Monodelphis domestica (gray short-tailed opossum). Its description in RNAcentral is "mdo-miR-12359-3p". Lineage: Eukaryota; Metazoa; Chordata; Mammalia; Didelphimorphia; Didelphidae. The record is from miRBase by way of RNAcentral.
GCACUCCCAGCCCAUGCUCUCU